UAAGGUGCAUCUAGUGCAGUUAGUGAAACAGCUUAGAAUCUACUGCCCUAAAUGCCCCUUCUG
RNAcentral lists this microRNA precursor (63 nucleotides) under Dasypus novemcinctus (nine-banded armadillo). RNAcentral describes it as "microRNA dno-mir-18b precursor". Its record names the gene dno-mir-18b. It matches the Rfam family "mir-17 microRNA precursor family", at positions 11 to 71 of the family's 80-position model. Rfam says of the family: This family represents the microRNA (miRNA) precursor mir-17, family, which includes mir-20, mir-91, and mir-103. miRNAs are transcribed as ~70nt precursors (modelled here) and subsequently processed by the Dicer enzyme to give a ~22nt product. In this case the mature sequence comes from the 3' arm of the precursor. The extents of the hairpin precursors are not generally known and are estimated based on hairpin prediction. Lineage: Eukaryota; Metazoa; Chordata; Mammalia; Cingulata; Dasypodidae. The record is from miRBase by way of RNAcentral.